This 342-nucleotide ribosomal RNA is filed under the name Wolbachia sp. RNAcentral's name for it is "bacterial SSU rRNA". It matches the Rfam family "Bacterial small subunit ribosomal RNA", at positions 1039 to 1380 of the family's 1533-position model. The record is from RNAcentral. Lineage: Bacteria; Pseudomonadati; Pseudomonadota; Alphaproteobacteria; Rickettsiales; Anaplasmataceae.
UGUUGCAUGGCUGUCGUCAGCUCGUGUCGUGAGAUGUUGGGUUAAGUCCCGCAACGAGCGCAACCCUCAUCCUUAGUUACCAUCAGGUAAUGCUGGGGACUUUAAGGAAACUGCCAGUGAUAAACUGGAGGAAGGUGGGGAUGAUGUCAAGUCAUCAUGGCCCUUAUGGAGUGGGCUACACACGUGCUACAAUGGUGGCUACAAUGGGCUGCAAAGUCGCGAGGCUAAGCUAAUCCCUUAAAAGCCAUCUCAGUUCGGAUUGUACUCUGCAACUCGAGUGCAUGAAGUUGGAAUCGCUAGUAAUCGUGGAUCAGCACGCCACGGUGAAUACGUUCUCGGGUC